This 1289-nucleotide long non-coding RNA is filed under the name Homo sapiens (human). RNAcentral describes it as "non-protein coding lnc-KATNAL2-13:3". The record is from RNAcentral. Lineage: Eukaryota; Metazoa; Chordata; Mammalia; Primates; Hominidae.
GAGGCGGUGCAGCUACCGCGCCGUGUUGUCCUCUGUCUGCACCGCCGCUGACGGAAAGCUAGGCCCUUCUGGAGACCCGCUUUCCCAAGGGCGCGGCCUCCUGGGCCGGGAUGCACGAGGAAAAAUAAUCCCCUGCCUUUCUUCGGUAGCUGUUUUCCAGUCCACAGCACCACUGCUGAACCGAGCGUUACUGAGUAGCGUUCUUUGCCUUCACCCCUCCCUUCCUCUACCACUUGUCCACUCUCGAGGUUUAACUAAGAAGUCAUACUUUACUAGACAACCCAAUCUCAGAAGUCGUCAUUUCCCCCUUAGCUACUUGAAUAGUACCUGGCACCUCUUGCUUCCUCCAUUAACUACUCCCUCGGGCAGCGACGUCCCUCCUUUCCCUCUUCUCUCCCGAUUAGAGCCACUACGGGCCGUGCCUUCCUCUUCCACGGGAGCUCUAUCUUGGUACACCCAGAACCACCUCCCUCCCUAACCCGCUGCCACACUCGUGGGGGUCUCUACCUGUCUCCUCUUGAUCCAGAACUACUUGGCUACAGAAUACUUUGAUCCUGGCCCUUCUGUGACUGCUCCCUGAUGGAAUAUUUGGACAAAAUCCCAACACUGAAUUAAGAUGAAGGUAUGCUGUAAUGUCUUAUAUGAAAAAUAACAUCAGAUCAAGGUCUCUCUUUUCUUUCAUUUUAAAAAAUUUUGUACUGCUCAUACCAUAUGGGGAAAUGGGCCUGCCCUCAAGUAACUGCUUCUUUUGAAUCUUUUCAGUAGCUCAAACUUGAACUCAGGCAUCAGUUCUUUGUAAGGCUAAAAGAACACGGCCUCUAAGUACCAAAUUAGUCAUUCACAUGAGCCAAGUAAUCAACUAAGAAUCCUUGGUACUUUCCUUGGACUAGCUGCAAGCCUAUAGUCCAAAGAUCACUGAUCUCUAACUUAGGAAAGGCCAAAAGGUACUUAAUACCUGCUCCAUAGUUUUAGAAGUAACUGAAGUCAUGAAAUAAAAGGUGCUCAUGAGUCUUCUGGAUGUAUGUCAGCAAUUCAGUUAAUUCACUGAAGAAAAAAAAAUACAUGUAAAUAUUUACUUUCAUUAACUCUAUACUCGGCAAUUUUACAGCAAAGAACAUAUAAUAAGAGGUGUUCACCCAAAAUGGAGAUUAAUGCAGUUAACACUGACAGGUUUAUACUAAGGUACAAAAACAAGUGCUUGACUUAGAAAUUUAACUUUAUUUACAAAUGUUCUCCUAUAAACAAAGAUGCCAUUCUACACCUUUAAAAUAUUGUAACUGAUAAUUUCC